GCCAUGGUAUUUUGACCCCCCUGCGGUAUAUUGAAACCCCUACUAUAGGCCUUUAAUUUCAGAAAUUCUGGCAAUUCGAACUCUUUUAUGUAGUUAGAAUACACAAAUAAGUAGUUUGUAUGUAUUUAACUUGCUGGAAAAGAUAUUUUGAAAAUUUUACUUUGCCAUGGUAUUUUGACCCCCUGCGAUAUAUUGAACCCCUUACUCUAGACAAUUCAAAAAAUUCUGGCAAUUUUAACUCUUAUAUGUAGUUAAUAUACACCAACAAGUAGUUUGUAUGUAUUAAACUUGAUGGAAAAGAUAUUUUGAAAAUUUUACUUUGCCAUGGUAUUUUGACCCCCCUGCGGUAUAUUGAACCCCUUACUCUAGACCUUUAAAUUAAAAAAAUUCUGCUUAUAUUCUAACUUUUUUAUGUAGUUAGAAUACACAAAUAAGCAGUUUGUAUGUAUUAAACUUGCUGGAAAAGUUAUUUUGAAAAUUUUACUUUGCCAUGGUAUUUUGACCCCCCUGCAGUAUAUUGAACCCCCUACUCUAGGCCUUUAAUUUCAGAAAUUCUGGCAAUUCUAACUCUUUUAUGUAGUUAGAAUACACCAAUAAGUAGUUU
Molecule: long non-coding RNA, 604 nt
Filed under: Mytilus galloprovincialis (Mediterranean mussel)
Lineage: Eukaryota; Metazoa; Mollusca; Bivalvia; Mytilida; Mytilidae
Source: RNAcentral